CCUACGGGAGGCAGCAGUGGGGAAUAUUGCACAAUGGGGGAAACCCUGAUGCAGCGACGCCGCGUGAGUGAAGAAGUAUCUCGGUACGUAAAGCUCUAUCAGCAGGGAAGAAAAUGACGGUACCUGACUAAGAAGCCCCGGCUAACUACGUGCCAGCAGCCGCGGUAAUACGGAGGGGGCAAGCGUUAUCUGGAUUUACUGGGUGUAAAGGGAGCGUAGACGGCAGCACAAGUCUGGAGUGAAAUCCCGGGGCUUAACCCCGGAACUGCUUUGGAAACUGGGCGGCUGGAGUGAAGGAGGGGUAAGCGGAAUUCCUAGUGUAGCGGUGAAAUGCGUAGAUAUUAGGAGGAACACCGGUGGCGAAGGCGGCUUACUGGACUGUAACUGACGUUGAGGCUCGAAAGCGUGGGGAGCAAACAGGAUUAGAUACCCCAGUAGUC
RNAcentral lists this ribosomal RNA (440 nucleotides) under uncultured bacterium. Its description in RNAcentral is "partial 16S ribosomal RNA". It matches the Rfam family "Bacterial small subunit ribosomal RNA", at positions 338 to 795 of the family's 1533-position model. The record is from RNAcentral.